AUUGAACGCUAGCGGGAUGCCUUACACAUGCAAGUCGAACGGAGUGGCGAACGGGUGAGUAAUGUAUCGGAACGUGCCCAGUAGCGGGGGAUAACUACGCGAAAGCGUAGCUAAUACCGCAUACUAUUGGAGCGGCCGAUAUCGGAGUAGCUAGUUGGUGGUGUAAGGGCGCACCAAGGCGACGAUCCCGAGCUGGUUUGAGAGGACGACCAGCCACACUGGGACGGAGACACGGCCCAGACUCCGACGUGAGGCAGCAGUGGGGAAUUUUGGACAAUGGGGGAACCCCUGAUCCAGCCAUCCCGCGUGGGCGAUGAAGGCCUGCGGGUUGUAAAGCUCUUUUGGUAGGAAAGCGUUAACUGCAGAAUAAGCACCGGCUAACUACGUGCCAGCAGCCGCGGUAAUUC
RNAcentral lists this ribosomal RNA (407 nucleotides) under uncultured bacterium. RNAcentral's name for it is "partial 16S ribosomal RNA". It matches the Rfam family "Bacterial small subunit ribosomal RNA", at positions 30 to 526 of the family's 1533-position model. The record is from RNAcentral.